Archocentrus centrarchus (flier cichlid) is the source of this 166-nucleotide long non-coding RNA. RefSeq lists it as uncharacterized. The record is from RefSeq and is a predicted model, not a curated record. The transcript has 3 exons. NCBI's taxonomy places the organism in Eukaryota, Metazoa, Chordata, Actinopteri, Cichliformes, Cichlidae.
CUCCACAGUGGACUGUGUGUGGUCCUGUAUUGUGGGCUGCUACACCACAGAAGAUUACUUUCUGGUUAAAGAUGGGGUGUUUCAUCUCCUCGACUUACUCAGUACUAGCCCCAGGUGUGUACACGGCAUCGUCCUCGCCACCCUGCUAGAGUUAUGUGACAACCCA